GAGAAAUCAGAUACAGGGUGGAUCAAAGUCAAAAUAUUCUUUUUAAGAGAAUUUCUAGGGAUUAACUUCCUUUCCUUUCUUUUUUUUUUUCUUUUUUCUUUUUCUUUUUUCAGAUUCUAAAAGAAUAAUCCUGAAGAGAGCACAAAAAGGUUUAAUUGAUUUUUAAUAUCAUUCAGCAAAUGUUUUCUUUAAAUCACUUAGAUAUUUCUGAUUCUAUCUGAUAUUUCGACGUUUUCAUAUAAUUCUUUAUCAUGAAUUUUCAGGGUAAGGGUAGAAGAACAGAGUGUAGGGGAGAGAGAAAUAAAGAAAGAAAGAAAAACCCUCAAGAAAAAAAAAGAAGAUUACAAAAGAUAGAGACUGUGAAGGAAACAAAGAGAGAAAGAGAAAGAAAAAAGAAAGAAAAAAAGGAAGGAUGAUCGAUCAUGUCCUCCUCCUCCUCCUCCUUCUCUUUCUCCUUCUCUUUUGCACUUCAAUCUCCGUUCCAAGCGAAGUAUAGUAAGCCGGAAAUGACCUCGAUUCCGGGAGUGAAUCGGUACACCGUGAGAGCAGUCGAAGCAUGAACUGGUUUGGAAGUGGACACAAACGUUUCUUAAACUUAUGUACGUAAGUAAGUACCUACAGAUGUAUGCAUGUAUAUAUAUAUAUAUGUAUGUGCAUAUAUAUAUAUACAUUCGAAUUGCAACAUGCAUUUUUACCGCUUCCUCCACGAAGUAGAGAAUGGAAACGAAAUGAGCAGUCUCUCUGUAUUACUCUCAAUGUUCUCUUUUUUUCAGCUAUAUUAUUACUACUAUUAUUGGUUUGGGACACGUUCGAACGAAAAUAUUGCGUGUGUAUUGUAUCAGAAGAGGAAAAAAAGAAAGGGGAAAGAAAGGAGGAAAGAAAAGAAAAUGAAUGAAAGAGAAACGGACAACUUGAGAAGGUUCAUGUAAGAGAGUUCACUGAAAGAAGAAGAAGAAGAAAAAAAGAAAACGAAAGAAGAAAAAGGAAUAAACGAAAAUGCCACAUUACGCGGUUCAAAUUUUUUUUUGCCUGAAGGAAGAUAUGAUUAAAGGGUUCAUUAAAUACCUUUUAAAGAAAGUAGCCAUUUCGUGGAAUUGAAAUUUCUUUGAUAGUAACAAAACACAUUGAACGGAGUCCUGUUAACGACAAUUAAAAAUCGAGUUUCCAGUUAGCGGUUUGUUGAACAGGUAUUCUCGAUCAGUCCUGAAUAAAUUAUUGAAAGCAUUUAUUGGUCUAUUAUAUUUCAAGAAACGUUUACUAAACGUUGAGGAAAGGAAGCUGUAUUCCCAUAAGGAAUAUAUAUAUAUAUAUAUAUUGAAGAUAGAUACGUGCACAUACACCAAGACGAAGAAUCUUUGCAAAUAUUAUAGGCAUGACUUGGAUAUUUAUUGUAUAUACUCGUACAUAUACGUAUAUUUAAUCAAAGCGAUAAGACUUAAUUUCAUACGUGUGUGGGUAGUCAUUAUCAUCAUAUUCUUGCUUAUCGACUUAGCACAAGAGGUUGACUACUCUAUUUCGUUGUAUAGAUUACUUCCCGCCAAAAUCUAAUCGCGAAUGAGAGUGAGUGAACGAGAUAGAGAUAGACGGAGAUAAAAAAAUAGAGAAGGAAUAUUGGGACGUAAAUAACACCAGAAGAAACCAAAGAAACCGUAAUGAUGAUGAAACUGUUAUAGCUACUGUCAUAUGAUUCCACCAUGGGAAUUUAGAAACCGGAUCGAGCAAAGCAACCUAGUCUCUCACAUAGCAACAAGGAAACCUCUUAAAGAAUUUCCAUCAUGGUUUCUCUAUGUCCGAGUCCGUAAUUCUAUGUAGAGUUCAGUUGAGUUGGGAAAAGUUAUGUCCUCGUUCUAUAGUUCAACAUUAUAUGUCGUUAUAGACCACCGCCAAGAAUAUUUUCCUGAAUAUAUAUUUCUUCCUCUUACAAACGAUUUUAAAUUAUAUUUAUCAAAUUCAAAGUAAUAAAAAUAUAUCAUUAUUACAAUAUU
Molecule: long non-coding RNA, 1985 nt
Organism: Vespa velutina
Lineage: Eukaryota; Metazoa; Arthropoda; Insecta; Hymenoptera; Vespidae
Exons: 4
Source: RefSeq, a predicted model, not a curated record